GUGAAGAAUGUCAUUAUGCAGGACUGUACAUGUUCGAAUUUGAAAUUAAAAAAGAUACAAAUGAUGAUAACACUUCUAAUAUUACUCAACCUUAUCAGUUUAUUAAAGCAGUGGCGGAUCCAACACCUGAUGAGGGGGCGCAACCACGUGUGUUGGAUACGCAGGAUUUUACAGCGGAUGCCAGGCCGCCAGGUGGAAUUUACAGAGGCACCUGAUGGAAAAAGGGGAGGAGAAAGGAAAAUUGCUUUUUGGGGUUUUUUUUGUUUAAGUUUUAGGCCUUUUUUGUGCCUCCUUCUUUUAAAUGAAAUGAGGCCCAAAUCCCAAUUCUAACCCACAAUUAGUUAACAAUCCAAUUGAAAAAAUAGAUUUCAUUUGCAAUUUACAGACCUUUGUUCUUCCCUGUAAGGUUGUGAUUGCGAACCCAACAAACAACGAACAACAAAACAUUGACACUAUGAUUGCUGUCGUCGGCAACGAGGUGAAUUAACCUCUUCGUCUCCACCAGACCGCUAUUGUAUCUAGGCUCCAGCUCUCCGUCUCUGACUAUAACAAUAACUGGUAAGUCCGAUAGCCUAUUUUUUUGUAUGUUAGCUUAUCUUAUCUUGCUAGAGAGAGAGAUUUUUUGGGAUUGUGAGAAUU
Molecule: long non-coding RNA, 639 nt
Filed under: Olea europaea (common olive)
Lineage: Eukaryota; Viridiplantae; Streptophyta; Magnoliopsida; Lamiales; Oleaceae
Description: long non-coding RNA (OEUR_LNC010154)
Source: RNAcentral